AACGAACGCUGGCGGCAGGCUUAACACAUGCAGGUCGAACGAUGUAGCAAUACAUAGUGGCGCACGGGUGAGUAAUACUUGGGAACGUGCCUUUCAGACGGGAAUAACCACGGGAAACUGUGGCUAAAACCCGAUACUCCCUCCGGGGGAAAGUUUACGCUGAAAGAUCGGCCCAAGCCAGAUUAGCUAGUUGGUGGGGUAAUGGCCUACCAAGGCAACGAUCUGUAGCUGGUCUGAGAGGACGACCAGCCACACUGGAACUGAGACACGGUCCAGACCCCUACGGGAGGCAGCAGUGGGGAAUAUUGGACAAUGGGGGAAACCCUGAUCCAGCCAUGCCGCGUGAGUGAUGAAGGCCUUAGGGUUGUAAAGCUCUUUUGUCAGGGAAGAUAAUGACGGUACCUGAAGAAUAAGCACCGGCUAACUUCGUGCCAGCAGCCGCCGUAA
Molecule: ribosomal RNA, 447 nt
Filed under: uncultured bacterium
Lineage: Bacteria
Description: partial 16S ribosomal RNA
Rfam family: Bacterial small subunit ribosomal RNA
Source: RNAcentral